This 198-nucleotide ribosomal RNA is filed under the name uncultured bacterium. RNAcentral describes it as "partial 16S ribosomal RNA". It matches the Rfam family "Bacterial small subunit ribosomal RNA", at positions 328 to 539 of the family's 1533-position model. The record is from RNAcentral.
ACGCUCGACACCUACGGGAGGCUGCAGUGGGGAAUAUUGCACAAUGGGGGAAACCCUGAUGCAGCAACGCCGCGUGAAGGAAGACGGUUUUCGGAUUGUAAACUUCUGUUCUUAGUGAAGAUAGUGACGGUAGCUAAGGAGCAAGCCACGGCUAACUACGUGCCAGCAGCCGCGGUAAUCUGAGCGGGCUGGCAAGGC